GCGGUCGUGGUGUAACGGCAACACGCCAGCUUCCCAAGCUGGAUAGUGCGGGUUCGAAUCCCGUCGACCGCUCCC
Molecule: transfer RNA, 75 nt
Filed under: Chloroflexota bacterium
Lineage: Bacteria; Bacillati; Chloroflexota
Description: Chloroflexi bacterium (freshwater metagenome) tRNA-Gly
Rfam family: tRNA
About the family: Transfer RNA (tRNA) molecules are approximately 80 nucleotides in length. Their secondary structure includes four short double-helical elements and three loops (D, anti-codon, and T loops). Further hydrogen bonds mediate the characteristic L-shaped molecular structure. tRNAs have two regions of fundamental functional importance: the anti-codon, which is responsible for specific mRNA codon recognition, and the 3' end, to which the tRNAs corresponding amino acid is attached (by aminoacyl-tRNA synthetases). tRNAs cope with the degeneracy of the genetic code in two manners: having more than one tRNA (with a specific anti-codon) for a particular amino acid; and 'wobble' base-pairing, i.e. permitting non-standard base-pairing at the 3rd anti-codon position.
Source: RNAcentral